CUGGAAGUUCAGAGGUGUAGGAAGGAAUAUCAGCGGUGAGGGAUGCAACGCUGGAGCUGCUGCGUGACCAACUGAUAUCCUCCGACAUCUGGUGGAUCCAGGAAGAGCAGCGGGUGUCACAGAUGCCACUGCCGCCCCUGUGUAACCACCCUCGGCCCACCCCAUGUUCCAUAUCUCCCUCACCCAGACGUGU
Chelonoidis abingdonii (Abingdon island giant tortoise) is the source of this 193-nucleotide non-coding RNA. NCBI's taxonomy places the organism in Eukaryota, Metazoa, Chordata, Testudines, Testudinidae. The record is from RefSeq and is a predicted model, not a curated record.